GGCCCUGGGCUGAAGGUGGUGCUAAACCACUGAGCCACCUGGGCUGCCCACUUUAGCUUUUUCCUGGCUUUUCUUUAGUAUUUGUUUUAGUGUAUCUUAAUAAUAAAAUGACUCUUCUACUAUUGCUUGAUUUAAGUUUUAGGUAUUUUUAAAAGAUUUUAUUUAUUUGAUAGAGAGUACAAGCAGGAGGAGUGGUGGGGAGAGGGAGAAGCAGGCUCCUUGAUGAGCAGAGAGACAGAUUCAGGGCUUGAUCCCAAGACCCUGAGAUCAUGACCUGAACUGAAGGCAGACGCUUAACCACUGAGCCACCGAGGUUCCCCAGUUUUAGGAAUUAUCAUCUUCUUGAUAAUGUUUACCUGAGGAUUUAGUUUUUUAACACACCAACUUCUCUUCUCCAUUAUUAUAGUUAUAUUUAGUAAAUACAGUAGCUAUUGUUUAGUUAUGACUGUAGAGCAAAGUAAUGCACCAUGAUUACAUUUUGCAUCAUUUUAUUUUUCCUAGAAUUAAUAAUUGCCUCAUUUUUCACACAUAACUUUCUGGAAACUUAAACUUUCUCCAGUUUUUCUGUCCAGUCCAUCAUGUUCUCAUCAAUAGUCUUGAAGGGUUUUUGUCCCUAAAUAUCAGAUAAUCUGAUUCCCUGUUUUUAUUAGGGAGGUCUAUUCUCUAUCUGUCCUUCCAUGCCAAUCUAUUCUGGUUGUUUUCUUGGCCAGUUACGCAGCCAUUAUCCAUGACCUCCUCCUGUAACCUUUCUAUGUUGGAUCUGUUUUCUGGUUUAUUCUCUAGUUUACUGGAGCAGUCCCUAAAGUACCUAAAGCUUUCCAAGAGGUGGUAUAUGAGAGGCAAAUCUUCUGAGUCCUUACAUGUCUAAAAGGCCUUUAUUCCAUUCUCACAUUUCAUUAAUAGUUUGACUACAUAUACAAUUUUAAGUUUAAAAUAAUUUUCCCUCUGGGUUUUGAAGCAAUUGCUCCACCCUCUUCUAGGUUUCAUUGUUGCUUUUGAGAAAUCUGAUUCUUAAUCAGAUAUUGGACUUAAUUUUUAGUUGUUUAGACACUAUUGUCUUUGUGCUUUUUAGAAGAUUUCUUCAUUUCGAUCUUCCAACAUUAUCUUCUGUAGGAUUUUUUGUAUAUUUAAAAAGUAUUUUAAUUUCUAGGACUUCCUUUAUUUCUAUUCUAUUUCUGAAAUACAUUUAUCUCAGUUCACAGGUGAAAUAUUUUUCUGAGGGUAUAUAUGCUUUUCUUUCCUACUCAGCAUUGAUUUUUGUUGCUGUUAUUUUAAUUUUUAGUUGUUUUUUGUUUUGCUCAUGUAAGUGACUUUCUAUUUCUGGGUAGUCUUGACAAUCUGUCAUAUAUGAAUGGUCCCCAAAAGACUAAUUGAAAGCUCUUUGGCCAGUGCUUGACAACUGAUAGGCUUUAGUAACACAGUGCUACUCAGAAAUGCCACUUGGCAAAUUAUUUGUUCAUGAUGAAAAAGCUUAGACAAGUAAGAGUUGGUCGGUCAGCAAUUGUAGGUGGACCAAGUUUUGAGAGGUGCUGCAUUAGAGAAUGAUUGUCAGGGAGCCAGUCAUUUGGCUGGAGGCCUUUUCUUUGGGGCUGUUCAGUUUCUCUAGGGAAUUCUUUGGUCUUUGCAGUAUGAAGGAGUCCAAGGAGGGUCUAGUUUUUUCCUGCCUUUUAACUCUGCUUCUGCCUUGUCCUCCACCUCACCUUCUAUUUUCCACUUUAUACAUAUUCCCAUAUACCUGUUCCUCUGCAUAUCCCUUCUACCUGGUUGUCUUCCAUUACUUUCUCCAGAUAAAAAUUAUCUCCUACCUGUGGGAGACAAUGAGGGAGGUGUGAGAGAUUGUUUUUGGAUGAGAAGGGUAGGGCAGAAGUCGUAGGAUCUGAUGAUCAUUCUGUUGUAUAUAAUUUCCAAUUAGUCAUUUUCAGGCUUAUUGUAACUAUAACAUCCAAGUCUGAACUUCUCAGGGGCUAUGGACCAAUUAGCAUGCUUCUCACUGGUGUCCCCCUUUUAGCGUCUUUGGGUUGCAGCUUCCUCAGUCUUGCUCAGACAGGACAUGUCCCAUUUGCUGUUCUCUAGAAAUCUGCUGAAAGCACUUUUGGGUUUUUUUUUCCACUCAACUCUAUCCUUUUGGGCUCCUGUCUUUAAAAAAUUGUUUCUGAUGAUCAUGCAGUAAGUUUUACUUUUUUUCUUGUAGUGUAUAUUUCUGUGCAUUUAACUUAUGUAUAGAUUCAUGGAAUCAUCAUAGGAUGCAGAACAGUACCACCAGCCCCCAAAACUCCCUUGUCCCAUUCCUUUGUACUCAUUUCCCCUACCCAAACUCCCUGUCAACUGCUGAUUUCUUUUCCAAACCCAUAGUUCAUCUUCUAGAAUGUCAUAAAUGGAAUUAUACCAUAUGUAACCUUUUGAAACUGACUUCUUUCAUUGAACAUGCCUUUGAGAUUCAUCUAAGGUAAUGAUGCCUAUCAGUACCUCCUACUUUUUCAAUUCCUUUUUCAUUUUACUGAGGUGAGAGGGAGAAUAGAUAAACUUGGGGCCAAUUCACUUUUUUAAACCAAAAAAAAUGCCUUAAAGUAACUUUUUGUGCUUUUUAAAAAAAA
This 2594-nucleotide long non-coding RNA is filed under the name Canis lupus familiaris (dog). RNAcentral describes it as "lncRNA (ENSCAFG00000056265.1, ENSCAFG00805016962.1)". The record is from RNAcentral. Lineage: Eukaryota; Metazoa; Chordata; Mammalia; Carnivora; Canidae.